UGGUCAAGUUAUUAAGGGUGCAGGGCGGAUGCCUUGGCACUAGGAGCCGAUGAAGGACGUGAUAAGCUGCGAUAAGCUUCGGGGAGUUGCACGUAAACUUUGAUCCGAAGAUUUCCGAAUGAGGAAACUCACUUAGAGUAAUGUCUAAGUAUCAUUAAGUGAAUACAUAGCUUAAUGAGGGGAACUCAGGGAACUGAAACAUCUAAGUACCUGAAGGAAGAGAAAGAAAUUCGAUUCCGUAAGUAGCGGCGAGCGAACGCGGAUUAGCCCAAACCAAUAAAGUUUUCUUUAUUGGGGUUGCGGACAUAUCAUAACGAAGAGGUAUCGUAAUUGAAGAGGUUUGGAAAGACCCACCACAGAAGGUAAUAGUCCUGUAUGUUAAACGAGAAGACUUUAGAUAUGAUCCAGAGUACCACGGGACACGUGAAACCCUGUGGGAAGCAGGAGGGACCACCCUCCAAGGCUAAAUACUACCUAGUGACCGAUAGCGUAUAGUACCGUGAGGGAAAGGUGAAAAGAACCCCGGGAGGGGAGUGAAAUAGAACCUGAAACCCUGCACUUACAAGCUGUGGAAGCACAUUUCUUGUGUGACCGCGUACUUUUUGUAGAACGGGCCAACGAGUUACGUUAAGUAG
This 635-nucleotide ribosomal RNA is filed under the name Clostridioides difficile. RNAcentral's name for it is "partial 23S ribosomal RNA". It matches the Rfam family "Bacterial large subunit ribosomal RNA", at positions 1 to 640 of the family's 2925-position model. Lineage: Bacteria; Bacillati; Bacillota; Clostridia; Peptostreptococcales; Peptostreptococcaceae. The record is from RNAcentral.